CGCGGGAGCGGUGCGGACGGGCCGGUCGCCAAUCCGGUCAGGUCCGGAAGGAAGCAGCCGUAACGAUUUUGGUCCGGGUCGCGCCGUCUCCCACCUUC
RNAcentral lists this signal recognition particle RNA (98 nucleotides) under Alphaproteobacteria bacterium. RNAcentral's name for it is "signal recognition particle sRNA small type". It matches the Rfam family "Bacterial small signal recognition particle RNA". From Rfam's summary of the family: The signal recognition particle (SRP) is a universally conserved ribonucleoprotein involved in the co-translational targeting of proteins to membranes. Archaeal SRP consists of a 7S RNA and homologues of the eukaryotic SRP19 and SRP54 proteins. In most bacteria, the SRP consists of a 4.5S RNA and the Ffh protein (a homologue of the eukaryotic SRP54 protein). The record is from RNAcentral. Lineage: Bacteria; Pseudomonadati; Pseudomonadota; Alphaproteobacteria.